GACGAACGCUGGCGGCGUGCUUAACACAUGCAAGUCGAACGGAAAGGCCCUGCUUUUGUGGGGUGCUCGAGUGGCGAACGGGUGAGUAACACGUGAGUAACCUGCCCUUGACUUUGGGAUAACUUCACGAAACUGGGGCUAAUACCGGAUAGGAGCUCCUGCUGCACGGUGGGGGUUGGAAAGUUUCGGCGGUUGGGGAUGGACUCGCGGCUUAUCAGCUUGUUGGUGGGGUAGUGGCUUACCAAGGCUUUGACGGGUAGCCGGCCUGAGAGGGUGACCGGCCACAUUGGGACUGAGAUACGGCCCAGACUCCUACGGGAGGCAGCAGUGGGGAAUAUUGCACAAUGGGCGGAAGCCUGAUGCAGCAACGCCGCGUGCGGGAUGACGGCCUUCGGGUUGUAAACCGCUUUCGCCUGUGACGAAGCGUGAGUGACGGUAAUGGGUAAAGAAGCACCGGCUAACUACGUG
RNAcentral lists this ribosomal RNA (468 nucleotides) under uncultured bacterium. Its description in RNAcentral is "partial 16S ribosomal RNA". It matches the Rfam family "Bacterial small subunit ribosomal RNA", at positions 28 to 507 of the family's 1533-position model. The record is from RNAcentral.